GGGUGAGAAUCCCGUCCACCGAUUGACUAAGGUUUCCAGAGGAAGGCUCGUCCGCUCUGGGUUAGUCGGGUCCUAAGCUGAGGCCGACAGGCGUAGGCGAUGGAUAACAGGUUGAUAUUCCUGUACCACCUAUAAUCGUUUUAAUCGAUGGGGGGACGCAGUAGGAUAGGCGAAGCGUGCGAUUGGAUUGCACGUCUAAGCAGUAAGGCUGAGUAUUAGGCAAAUCCGGUACUCGUUAAGGCUGAGCUGUGAUGGGGAGAAGACAUUGUGUCUUCGAGUCGUUGAUUUCACACUGCCGAGAAAAGCCUCUAGAUAGAAAAUAGGUGCCCGUACCGCAAACCGACACAGGUAGUCAAGAUGAGAAUUCUAAGGUGAGCGAGCGAACUCUCGUUAAGGAACUCGGCAAAAUGACCCCGUAACUUCGGGAGAAGGGGUGCUCUUUAGGGUUAACGCCCAGAAGAGCCGCAGUGAAUAGGCCCAAGCGACUGUUUAUCAAAAACACAGGUCUCUGCUAAACCGUAAGGUGAUGUAUAGGGGCUGACGCCUGCCCGGUGCUGGAAGGUUAAGAGGAGUGGUUAGCUUCUGCGAAGCUACGAAUCGAAGCCCCAGUAAACGGCGGCCGUAACUAUAACGGUCCUAAGGUAGCGAAAUUCCUUGUCGGGUAAGUUCCGACCCGCACGAAAGGCGUAACGAUUUGGGCACUGUCUCAACGAGAGACUCGGUGAAAUCAUAGUACCUGUGAAGAUGCAGGUUACCCGCGACAGGACGG
This 769-nucleotide ribosomal RNA is filed under the name Staphylococcus aureus. RNAcentral's name for it is "partial 23S ribosomal RNA". It matches the Rfam family "Bacterial large subunit ribosomal RNA", at positions 1319 to 2083 of the family's 2925-position model. The record is from RNAcentral. Lineage: Bacteria; Bacillati; Bacillota; Bacilli; Caryophanales; Staphylococcaceae.